GCGGUCCUUCUGUGGCGCCAUCUGGGGCCCGACUCCUGCGUGGCGCUCAGGGGCGUCUUGGAGUCCCUGGCCGAAGAGUCUUCGCUGACCCCACACGUCAGGUCAGGUCACUCGAAGCUCAUCCUCCCGCAUGCAGUAUCGCCUCUUCAGUGACCUUUUCGAAGUGACCUGACCUUUCCGAUAUUUUUUUCUUGAGAUGUUUAGGUUAUGCAAAGUCGAUGGAAGAUUGUUACUGUAAUGCAUAUCCAGAGGCGAGAGAGAGAGAGAGAGAGAGAGAGAGAGAGAGAGAGAGAGAGAGAGAGAGAGAGAGAGAGAGAGAGAGAGA
Molecule: long non-coding RNA, 325 nt
Organism: Penaeus indicus
Lineage: Eukaryota; Metazoa; Arthropoda; Malacostraca; Decapoda; Penaeidae
Exons: 2
Source: RefSeq, a predicted model, not a curated record